GAAAAAGAACCUGAAACCGUGUACGUACAAGCAGUGGGAGCACAGAGCAAUCUGUGUGACUGCGUACCUUUUGUAUAAUGGGUCAGCGACUUAUAUUCUGUAGCAAGGUUAACCGAAUAGGGGAGCCGAAGGGAAACCGAGUCUUAACUGGGCGUUAAGUUGCAGGGUAUAGACCCGAAACCCGGUGAUCUAGCCAUGGGCAGGUUGAAGGUUGGGUAACACUAACUGGAGGACCGAACCGACUAAUGUUGAAAAAUUAGCGGAUGACUUGUGGCUGGGGGUGAAAGGCCAAUCAAACCGGGAGAUAGCUGGUUCUCCCCGAAAGCUAUUUAGGUAGCGCCUCGUGAAUUCAUCUCCGGGGGUAGAGCACUGUUUCGGCAAGGGGGUCAUCCCGACUUACCAACCCGAUGCAAACUGCGAAUACCGGAGAAUGUUAUCACGGGAGACACACGGCGGGUGCUAACGUCCGUCGUGAAGAGGGAAACAACCCAGACCGCCAGCUAAGGUCCCAAAGUCAUGGUUAAGUGGGAAACGAUGUGGGAAGGCCCAGACAGCCAGGAUGUUGGCUUAGAAGCAGCCAUCAUUUAAAGAAAGCGUAAUAGCUCACUGGUCGAGUCGGCCUGCGCGGAAGAUGUAACGGGGCUAAACCAUGCACCGAAGCUGCGGCAGCGACGCUGAUGCGUUGUUGGGUA
This 692-nucleotide ribosomal RNA is filed under the name Escherichia coli. RNAcentral's name for it is "partial 23S ribosomal RNA". It matches the Rfam family "Bacterial large subunit ribosomal RNA", at positions 540 to 1230 of the family's 2925-position model. The record is from RNAcentral. Lineage: Bacteria; Pseudomonadati; Pseudomonadota; Gammaproteobacteria; Enterobacterales; Enterobacteriaceae.